GCGGGAUUAGUUUAGUGGCAAAACGACAGUUUUCCAAACUGUAGUCGGGAGUUCGAUUCUCCCAUCCCGCA
RNAcentral lists this transfer RNA (71 nucleotides) under Candidatus Adlerbacteria bacterium RIFCSPHIGHO2_01_FULL_54_23. Its description in RNAcentral is "tRNA-Gly". It matches the Rfam family "tRNA". From Rfam's summary of the family: Transfer RNA (tRNA) molecules are approximately 80 nucleotides in length. Their secondary structure includes four short double-helical elements and three loops (D, anti-codon, and T loops). The record is from RNAcentral. Lineage: Bacteria; Candidatus Adleribacteriota. RNAcentral also lists the same sequence under 1 other name.